Molecule: ribosomal RNA, 253 nt
Filed under: uncultured bacterium
Lineage: Bacteria
Description: partial 16S ribosomal RNA
Rfam family: Bacterial small subunit ribosomal RNA
Source: RNAcentral
UACGUAGGGGGCAAGCGUUGUCCGGAAUCAUUGGGCGUAAAGCGCGUGUAGGCGGCCAGGUAAGUCCGUUCUGAAAGCCCGGGGCUCAACCCCGGGAGGCGGAUGGAUACUGCUUGGCUCGAGUCCGGAAGAGGCGAGUGGAAUUCCUGGUGUAGCGGUGGAAUGCGCAGAUAUCAGGAGGAACACCAAUAGCGAAGGCAGCUCGCUGGGACGGUACUGACGCUAAGGCGCGAAAGCGUGGGGAGCGAACAGG